UACGGGGGGAGCAAGCGUUGUUCGGAUUUACUGGGCGUAAAGGGCGCGUAGGCGGUCAGCACAAGUCAGUUGUGAAAUCUCCGGGCUUAACUCGGAAAGGUCAACUGAUACUGUGCGACUAGAGUGCGGAAGGGGCAACUGGAAUUCUCGGUGUAGCGGUGAAAUGCGUAGAUAUCAGGAGGAACACCGGUGGCGAAGGCAGCCUUCUGGGCCAACACUGACGCUCAUGCACGAAAGCGUGGGGAGCAAACAGG
Molecule: ribosomal RNA, 254 nt
Filed under: uncultured bacterium
Lineage: Bacteria
Description: partial 16S ribosomal RNA
Rfam family: Bacterial small subunit ribosomal RNA
Source: RNAcentral